UACAGAGGGUGCAAGCGUUAAUCGGAAUUACUGGGCGUAAAGCGUGCGUAGACGGUUACGUAAGUCGGGUGUGAAAGCCCCGGGCUCAACCUGGGAAUUGCAUUCGAGACUGCAUAGCUAGGGUGCGGAAGAGGGAAGCGGAAUUUCCGGUGUAGCGGUGAAAUGCGUAGAUAUUGGGAGGAACACCAGUGGCGAAGGCGGCUCACUGGACCGGAACUGACGCUGAGGCGCGAAAGCGUGGGGAGCAAACGGG
RNAcentral lists this ribosomal RNA (253 nucleotides) under uncultured bacterium. RNAcentral describes it as "partial 16S ribosomal RNA". It matches the Rfam family "Bacterial small subunit ribosomal RNA", at positions 524 to 776 of the family's 1533-position model. The record is from RNAcentral.